RNAcentral lists this transfer RNA (95 nucleotides) under Thermoanaerobacteraceae bacterium. RNAcentral describes it as "tRNA-Ser". It matches the Rfam family "tRNA". Rfam says of the family: Transfer RNA (tRNA) molecules are approximately 80 nucleotides in length. Their secondary structure includes four short double-helical elements and three loops (D, anti-codon, and T loops). Lineage: Bacteria; Bacillati; Bacillota; Clostridia; Thermoanaerobacterales; Thermoanaerobacteraceae. The record is from RNAcentral.
GGUAGGGUGGCAGAGCGGUUUAUUGCGUCAGUCUUGAAAACUGAAGGCGAGGGCAAAACCUUCGUCCGUGGGUUCAAAUCCCACCCCUACCGCCA